CCUACGGGUGGCAGCAGUGGGGAAUAUUGGGCAAUGGGCGCAAGCCUGACCCAGCAACGCCGCGUGAAGGAAGAAGGCCCUCGGGUUGUAAACUUCUUUUAGCAGGGACGAAGAAAGUGACGGUACCUGUUGAAUAAGCCACGGCUAACUACGUGCCAGCAGCCGCGGUAAUACGUCGGUGGCAAGCGUUCUCCGGAUUUACUGGGUGUAAAGGGCGUGUAGGCGGGAGGGCAAGUCAGGCGUGAAAUUCCGGGGCUCAACCCUGGAACUGCGUUUGACCCUGUUCUUCUUGAGGAAUGGAGAGGCAGGCGGAAUUCCGGGUGUAGCGGUGAAAUGCGUAGAUAUAAGGAGGAACACCAGUGGCGAAGGCGGCCUGCUGGACAGUAACUGACGCUGAGGCGCGAAAGCGUGGGGAGCAAACAGGAUUAGAUACCCCAGUAGUC
Molecule: ribosomal RNA, 443 nt
Filed under: uncultured bacterium
Lineage: Bacteria
Description: partial 16S ribosomal RNA
Rfam family: Bacterial small subunit ribosomal RNA
Source: RNAcentral